This 253-nucleotide ribosomal RNA is filed under the name uncultured bacterium. RNAcentral's name for it is "partial 16S ribosomal RNA". It matches the Rfam family "Bacterial small subunit ribosomal RNA", at positions 524 to 776 of the family's 1533-position model. The record is from RNAcentral.
UACGAAGGGGGCUAGCGUUGCUCGGAAUCACUGGGCGUAAAGGGUGCGUAGGCGGGUCUUUAAGUCAGGGGUGAAAUCCUGGAGCUCAACUCCAGAACUGCCUUUGAUACUGAGGAUCUUGAGUCCGGGAGAAGUGAGUGGAACUGCGAGUGUAGAGGUGAAAUUCGUAGAUAUUCGCAAGAACACCAGUGGCGAAGGCGGCUCACUGGCCCGGUACUGACGCUGAGGCACGAAAGCGUGGGGAGCAAACAGG